GGUGAACCUGCGGAAGGAUCAUUACCGAGUGCGGGUCCUUUGGGCCCAACCUCCCAUCCGUGUCUAUUAUACCCUGUUGCUUCGGCGGGCCCGCCGCUUGUCGGCCGCCGGGGGGGCGCCUUUGCCCCCCGGGCCCGUGCCCGCCGGAGACCCCAACACGAACACUGUCUGAAAGCGUGCAGUCUGAGUUGAUUGAAUGCAAUCAGUUAAAACUUUCAACAAUGGAUCUCUUGGUUCCGGCAUCGAUGAAGAACGCAGCGAAAUGCGAUAACUAAUGUGAAUUGCAGAAUUCAGUGAAUCAUCGAGUCUUUGAACGCACAUUGCGCCCCCUGGUAUUCCGGGGGGCAUGCCUGUCCGAGCGUCAUUGCUGCCCUCAAGCCCGGCUUGUGUGUGGGGUCGCCGUCCCCCUCUCCGGGGGGACGGGCCCGAAAGGCAGCGGCGGCACCGCGUCCGAUCCUCGAGCGUAUGGGGCUUUGUCACAUGCUCUGUAGGAUUGGCCGGCGCCUGCCGACGUUUUCCAACCAUUCUUUCCAGGUUGACCUCGGAUCAGGUAGGGAUACCCGCUGAACUUAAGCAU
Molecule: ribosomal RNA, 577 nt
Filed under: fungal sp. 51632
Lineage: Eukaryota; Fungi
Also listed under: 1 other name
Description: eukaryotic LSU rRNA
Rfam family: 5.8S ribosomal RNA (bases 211-364)
Source: RNAcentral